RNAcentral lists this ribosomal RNA (318 nucleotides) under Listeria monocytogenes. RNAcentral describes it as "bacterial SSU rRNA". It matches the Rfam family "Bacterial small subunit ribosomal RNA", at positions 900 to 1220 of the family's 1533-position model. The record is from RNAcentral. Lineage: Bacteria; Bacillati; Bacillota; Bacilli; Caryophanales; Listeriaceae.
CUUAAAGGAAUUGACGGGGGCCCGCACACGCGGUGGAGCAUGUGGUUUAAUUCGAAGCAACGCCAAUAACCUUACCAGGUCUAGACAUCCUUUGACCACUCUGGAGACAGAGCUUUCCCUUCGGGGACAAAGUAACAGGUGGUGCAUGGUUGGCGUCAGCUCGUGUCGUGAGAUGUUUGAGAAAGUCCCGCAACGAGCGCAGCCCUUGAUUUUAGUAGCCAGCGUUUAAUGUGGCACUCUAAAGUGACUGCCGGUACAAGCCGGAGGAAGGUGGGGGUGACGUCAAAUCAUCAUGCCCCUUAUGACCUGGGCUUCACA